Molecule: ribosomal RNA, 484 nt
Filed under: uncultured bacterium
Lineage: Bacteria
Description: partial 16S ribosomal RNA
Rfam family: Bacterial small subunit ribosomal RNA
Source: RNAcentral
AUUGAACGCUGGCGGCAGGCCUAACACAUGCAAGUCGAGCGGAUGAAGGGAGCUUGCUCCUGGAUUCAGCGGCGGACGGGUGAGUAAUGCCUAGGAAUCUGCCUUGUCGUGGGGGAUAACGUCCGGAAACGGGCGCUAAUACCGCAUACGUCCUGAGGGAGAAAGUGGGGGAUCUUCGGACCUCACGCUAUCAGAUGAGCCUAGGUCGGAUUAGCUAGGUGGUGGGGUAAAGGCCUACCAAGGCGACGAUCCGUAACUGGUCUGAGAGGAUGAUCAGUCACACUGGAACUGAGAAACGGUCCAGACUCCUACGGGAGGAAGCAGUGGGGAAUAUUGGGCAAUGGGCGAAAGCCUGAUCCAGCCAUGCCGCGUGUGUGAAGAAGGUCUUCGGAUUGUAGAGCACUUUAAGUUGGGAGGAAGGGCAGUAAGUUAAUACCUUGCUGUUUUGACGUUACCAACAGAAUAAGCACCGGCUAACUUCGUG